UUCAGCAAACAAAAACAAGAGUUAAAAUACGAAGUAUUAUAGUCACGUGAUACAUCCCCUGCGUCAGGAAGUGGCCCGACGUGAUAAACCGAACGGUCCGGCCGGAGGACAAGGAAGCGUGGAAGAAGAACCGAAGCUGUCGAAGCAACGUUCGCGGGAAGUCUAACCGCUUGAAGCACGUUGCAGAGUCGAGACCAGUUGAGCGGCCGGAAUUUUACGAACGAUUAUGCAAGCGUACGUCUUGAGGACGACCAUGAGCCACAUAUCAUCUCAAAUUUCUGCCCGUCAAGCAUUGUGACGAAACGGAAUCGGACUUCUUCAAGGCGCGGAUCCUAAAGUUGUUUGGAUCGCAGAGUGACGCGGAAACCCAGUGACAGUAAGCGGGUGCUAGUACCUCCGACGAGAUGAGUGACUGCCCGGGAGGGCUGGAGGAAGCUUGUGUGAGUCAGGUAAUUGUAAUUUCAUUUUCGCGCUUGCGAAGCUAUUCAUAAGACGUAUUUUAAAUUUGAGAUUUUCUUUAGUUAUGCCGUCACAAGUACAAGGAAUUUCAUUGAUAGGGGUGCCGUGUGUUUGUUUUCAUAUGCCCAGAAACUAGGUAAAGGUUAUGUGUUUUAACCAUUUCGUCGUUUACUCUGAGACUGGGGGGUUUUUGAAGAGCAGAAGUAGCAGAAAAAACAUACAGGUCUCAAGACCUGUCUGUUUUUUCUGUUACUUCUGCUCUUCAAAAAACCCCCAGUCUCAGGGUAAACGACGAAAUGGUUGACUUCCACCAGCUAGCCUGUACUUUGACUCUUUUCUCGUUAAUGUGUUUUAACAUUUUUUCUGUGCUGAUAGGCUUAAGGUUAGAAUGAAUUAUAUCUGUCAAGGCGUGGCGCAGUCUGUGUCUAUUUGGAGAAGAGGUAUCUGUGUGCAUGCGUGCGUGCAUGUUUGUUUGUUUGUUAGUUCGUUGGGGUAGAGAGAGGAGAUGAAGAAGAGGAGGAGGGUGAGGGAUCACGUCGAAUCAUUCAAAUCGUUAACUCCGACAGUAAUGAGGUAAGAAGGAUACCUGCUAGUUACACCGGUUCGGUUUUGUGCCAAACUCAAAUUGCGUUUUGCCGCGUAAAUAUUGCUACAAUUUUUUUUUCAUCAACAAAAUUAAUUUUGAGGCAUGCCGUUGACAAAUAGGACCCCUGUUUUCAAUCCCAGUCCAGGUUAUUCGCGACUCCAGCGAACUAUAGAUGGCGCGCUGCUCAGGCAAAAUUGGGACGAAAGAAGGUCGUUUUCGUUGUUCAGUAUGCGGACCAUCACAAAUUCCUGCACUGCAGCAUAAAAUCGGUGUUACAUUUGAAUGCAAAGCGAUUUUUCGACCCUAGAAACGUUCGUCUACUCAGUGCGUAGGGAGGACCCGGUGGAAUCAUUAAAAUAAUUACUGGAAACAAUGUUUGUUUCUAUGCUGCCUACGAGAACCAAGCAGCGAUAGCAGACGACAGAGUCGGGACAACCUCCUCUCCUGAGCUUCUCGGCGCUGCCGCUACGCGGCGUCGAUUUCGCUGGAGUCACGAAUAUUGCGCUGGCAAAUUUCCUGUACAUAGUGCUGCUUCAAAGAUGAACUGAAGUUUAUGUCUUCUAUGUGUGCAUUGGCAAUGGCAUGUGGCUCAACAAGACUUCACACACGAAAGUUCUCAAAUAGAAGAGGGAAUCAAUGUUCAUCCGGUAAGGUUUGGUAAUUAUCUCCGCCACAGAUGGCCUCCUUGGCGAAUUGUAACCGGCAGACCUUCAAACCGCACAAAGGCUAAGCAAAGCCACAACUGGAUGCAGCAAGACUAAAAGCUUUAUAAUAUACUGUAAGGACUAUGGCUUUAUAAUAAGCCUUUUAUAGCAAAACAUACUGAUCUGAAAAGCGUUGUUUGUGGUUAUUUUAAAGUGGUAUACGGAAACUUUGUCGUAUUGUAUUAAUUCUGGUUCACUGCACAGUUGAAAGAUGAACUAAAUCAAAGUUAUGACUGCUGGUGUCAUGUACAUAUUCAGAACUUUUUUUUAUUAAAAUAAUUGUAAUCAAGUGUUUUUAUGGGUUUUAGCACUGUGAUUAAGAUACGUCAAUGUGUUUUCUAAGAAAGACUACUAAUUUGCAGUUUGUAUCUUCUCCUAAAAUAUUUUGUAGAUCUGAGCAUGUAUUCAUACCUGAAUAUGUGCCAGGCAUUCCCCAGUAUGUGUAUAAUUGUUUACUAGGCCUGUAAGCUUCCCCACUACAUCAUUGCCGUUAUGUUAACGCUUCCCAGCUAUUAUUCGAGAGAGAUAAGUGUUUCUCAUGAUCAAUUAGGUUGAGAUUGUUUAGCGUUAAUGCUUUUGAGUCCCCCAUUUUUAAUUCCUGACAGAGCGCUUCAAUGUCGGUUUAUUUUUGGUUUGCCGCUAUUUAUCACCACAAGCAAAAACAUCACGCCACUGGGAUUAACCCGAAGCUCACCUCAUGAUUAACGACGCUGCCGUCCACUGUCUUAAGGUGGGCCUACGUUCAUGGGUACUUGUCUAGUGGUUCUGGAGUUGAUGUUGCUGAGAUAACCGAGACGCCGAUUUCUACGAUGGCCUCUGUCAGCAUCAUGGUCAAUUACAGCUGGCCCAAACCAGGCCAAUCAACGUGCUGGCCCGAACCAGGCCAAUCAACGUGCUGGCCCGAGCCCGGCCCGGGCCCACAGUCAAAAGUCCGAGCCCAUCCCAGGCCUGGGCUUUCGGCUCAGCAAAGUCUGUGGAUCUGGUUAUGCUUCCUGUACGAGACAGAUCACGAAGCGGUUGCUGACUGACCAGUUGGGGCGAAAAUGUUUGUGGGAAGGACGCAAGAGAAAGUUGACAUUCAGGAACCUUCACCUUGCUGAGUGCAUCAUAAAUGCAGUGCAGAGCUGCCAUAAAUGUGAAGACUUCAAGGUAGAAACCAUGGUCACGGAUUAACUUCGCCACGCACCUGCCUGACAUCAGUCAUCUCAAAUGGAACAUUCUGCACCACAGGAGAUAGAGAUGUGAACUGCCUUAAGUGGGCCUUGAAUGUGCUGAGCUUUUUAUUAUGUUUAUCAGACAUUUUUUUUAAGCAAAGUAUCCUGCAUUGUUCAGUAAGUAUACUUUAUUUUGAAAACCUCAUGCUGUCUAUGCAGCAUUGUUCAAAAAUUAUACUUUAUUUUAAAAGCAUCAAGCACUGCUCGUCUGUCUAACAGUAACAAUAAAGAGUUAAUGGUGA
This 3205-nucleotide long non-coding RNA is filed under the name Ixodes scapularis (black-legged tick). RNAcentral describes it as "uncharacterized LOC121838290". Lineage: Eukaryota; Metazoa; Arthropoda; Arachnida; Ixodida; Ixodidae. The record is from RNAcentral.